This 284-nucleotide unclassified non-coding RNA is filed under the name uncultured fungus. RNAcentral's name for it is "sequence contains ITS1". Lineage: Eukaryota; Fungi. The record is from RNAcentral.
GUGUAUAUUUUUUUUAGACACACAAAUGUCCAAAAUAAUAACAUUCUAAUACUGGAGUAUGAAUUUAAAACAUAGAUCUGAAAAGUACAAAGAAAAGCUGGUAUUUCUUCUACACAGCAAUUCUUCUGACCAAGUUGUUAUACUUGAAAAGUAUUCAGAUCUACACAAUGUGCACAGGUGGGUUUAUAAAGUCGGAAUAAGCGUGCACAUUCUCCAAAAGAGAUAGCAACAGCUUAAACCAAGUUUAUUCAAUAAUGAUCCUUCCGCAGGUUCACCUACGGAAA